Molecule: ribosomal RNA, 593 nt
Filed under: Bacillus sp. CH50b_2B
Lineage: Bacteria; Bacillati; Bacillota; Bacilli; Caryophanales; Bacillaceae
Also listed under: 1 other name
Description: bacterial SSU rRNA
Rfam family: Bacterial small subunit ribosomal RNA
Source: RNAcentral
GCAAGUCGAGCGGAUUGAUGGGAGCUUGCUCCCUGAAAUCAGCGGCGGACGGGUGAGUAACACGUGGGUAACCUGCCUGUAAGACUGGGAUAACUCCGGGAAACCGGGGCUAAUACCGGAUAGUUCUUUUCCUCGCAUGAGGAAAAGUGGAAAGGCGGCUUCGGCUGCCACUUACAGAUGGACCCGCGGCGCAUUAGCUAGUUGGUGAGGUAACGGCUCACCAAGGCAACGAUGCGUAGCCGACCUGAGAGGGUGAUCGGCCACACUGGGACUGAGACACGGCCCAGACUCCUACGGGAGGCAGCAGUAGGGAAUCUUCCGCAAUGGACGAAAGUCUGACGGAGCAACGCCGCGUGAGUGAUGAAGGUUUUCGGAUCGUAAAGCUCUGUUGUUAGGGAAGAACAAGUGCCGUUCGAAUAGGGCGGCACCUUGACGGUACCUAACCAGAAAGCCACGGCUAACUACGUGCCAGCAGCCGCGGUAAUACGUAGGUGGCAAGCGUUGUCCGGAAUUAUUGGGCGUAAAGCGCGCGCAGGCGGUCUCUUAAGUCUGAUGUGAAAGCCCACGGCUCAACCGUGGAGGGUCAUUGGAAA